This 253-nucleotide ribosomal RNA is filed under the name uncultured bacterium. RNAcentral's name for it is "partial 16S ribosomal RNA". It matches the Rfam family "Bacterial small subunit ribosomal RNA", at positions 524 to 776 of the family's 1533-position model. The record is from RNAcentral.
UACGUAGGGGGCAAGCGUUAUCCGGAUUUACUGGGUGUAAAGGGCGUGUAGCCGGGCUUACAAGUCAGAUGUGAAAUCCGGGGGCUCAACCCCCGAACUGCAUUUGAAACUGUAGGUCUUGAGUAUCGGAGAGGCAGGCGGAAUUCCUAGUGUAGCGGUGAAAUGCGUAGAUAUUAGGAGGAACACCAGUGGCGAAGGCGGCCUGCUGGACGACAACUGACGGUGAGGCGCGAAAGCGUGGGGAGCAAACAGG